CCUACGGGUGGCAGCAGUGGGGGAUUUUCCACAAUGGGCGCAAGCCUGAUGCAGCCAUGCCGCGUGUAUGAAGAAGGCCUUCGGGUUGUAAAGUACUUUCAGCGGGGAGGAAGGGAGUAAAGUUAAUACCUUUGCUCAUUGACGUUACCCGCAGAAGAAGCACCGGCUAACUCCGUGCCAGCAGCCGCGGUAAUACGGAGGGUGCAAGCGUCAAUCGGAAUUACUGGGCGUAAAGCGCACGCAGGCGGUCUGUCAAGUCGGAUGUGAAAUCCCCGGGCUCAACCUGGGAACUGCAUUCGAAACUGGCAGGCUAGAGUCUUGUAGAGGGGGGUAGAAUUCCAGGUGUAGAGGUGAAAUUCGUAGAUAUUGGGAAGAACACCGGUGGCGAAGGCGGCCCCCUGGACGAAGACUGACGCUCAGGUGCGAAAGCGUGGGGAGCAAACAGGAUUAGAUACCCGGGUAGUC
Molecule: ribosomal RNA, 465 nt
Filed under: uncultured bacterium
Lineage: Bacteria
Description: bacterial SSU rRNA
Rfam family: Bacterial small subunit ribosomal RNA
Source: RNAcentral